UAAAAGAUAAGCUAAAUAAGCUAAUGGGCUCAUACCCCGUAUAUGAGAGUUCAAUCUCUCUCUUUUUA
Molecule: transfer RNA, 68 nt
Filed under: Jonas distinctus
Lineage: Eukaryota; Metazoa; Arthropoda; Malacostraca; Decapoda; Corystidae
Description: tRNA-Met
Rfam family: tRNA
About the family: Transfer RNA (tRNA) molecules are approximately 80 nucleotides in length.
Source: RNAcentral